RNAcentral lists this transfer RNA (71 nucleotides) under Stegodyphus mimosarum. It matches the Rfam family "tRNA". From Rfam's summary of the family: Transfer RNA (tRNA) molecules are approximately 80 nucleotides in length. Their secondary structure includes four short double-helical elements and three loops (D, anti-codon, and T loops). Lineage: Eukaryota; Metazoa; Arthropoda; Arachnida; Araneae; Eresidae. The record is from Rfam by way of RNAcentral.
GCCUUCGUGGUGUAACGGUAGCACACUCGGUGCAUAUUCGAGAGAUCCAGGUUCGAAUCUUGGCGAGGACA